RNAcentral lists this ribosomal RNA (375 nucleotides) under Triticum aestivum (bread wheat). Its description in RNAcentral is "partial small subunit ribosomal RNA". The record is from RNAcentral. Lineage: Eukaryota; Viridiplantae; Streptophyta; Magnoliopsida; Poales; Poaceae.
AUGACACAGUUCGGCUGUCGUGAGAACAUCAAAGGGGUUUCGUUUGGGAGAGGUGGACCAACGAUCACUCAUUUACUCUUUGCCGAUGAUAGUGUGGUAUUUGUGGAGGGGCUGAGAGAGAAUUUUGAGGCUUUGCGCCAUAUCCUGGUUGAUUAUGAAGAGGCCUCGGGGCAAAAGGUAAAUCUCCAAAAGUCAGCGGUGUACUUUGGCAAGGGUACUUUGGAUGGUGAUAAGGAGGAACUCAAACAUGUGUUGCAAAUUUCGGAGGAGGCACUGAGUGAACGGUAUUUGGGGCUACCCACGGUGGUGGAAAGAUCUAAGGACGGUACUUUCAAAUACGUUAAGGAUAGUGCGAAAGGGAAAGUGUCAGGAUAG